This 25-nucleotide unclassified non-coding RNA is filed under the name Mus musculus (house mouse). RNAcentral describes it as "oocyte_clustered_small_RNA12221". The record is from RNAcentral. Lineage: Eukaryota; Metazoa; Chordata; Mammalia; Rodentia; Muridae.
GGAUACAAUUUGUGAAGCACAGGAG